AUUGUGCGGCGCUGGUCCCCUCAGAGGGUUCCUGCUGCUGCCGGUGCCUUGGACCCUCCCCCUCGCUUCUCGUUCUACUGCCCCAGGAGCCCGGCGGGUCCGGGACUCCCGUCCGUGCCGGUGCGGGCGCCGGCAUGUGGCUGUGGGAGGACCAGGGCGGCCUCCUGGGCCCUUUCUCCUUCCUGCUGCUAGUGCUGCUGCUGGUGACGCGGAGCCCGGUCAAUGCCUGCCUCCUCACCGGCAGCCUCUUCGUUCUACUGCGCGUCUUCAGCUUUGAGCCGGUGCCCUCUUGCAGGGCCCUGCAGGUGCUCAAGCCCCGGGACCGCAUUUCUGCCAUCGCCCACCGUGGCGGCAGCCACGACGCGCCCGAGAACACGCUGGCGGCCAUUCGGCAGGCAGCUAAGAAUGGAGCAACAGGCGUGGAGUUGGACAUUGAGUUUACUUCUGACGGGAUUCCUGUCUUAAUGCACGAUAACACAGUAGAUAGGACGACUGAUGGGACUGGGCGAUUGUGUGAUUUGACAUUUGAACAAAUUAGGAAGCUGAAUCCUGCAGCAAACCACAGACUCAGGAAUGAUUUCCCUGAUGAAAAGAUCCCUACCCUAAGGGAAGCUGUUGCAGAGUGCCUAAACCAUAACCUCACAAUCUUCUUUGAUGUCAAAGGCCAUGCACACAAGGCUACUGAGGCUCUAAAGAAAAUGUAUAUGGAAUUUCCUCAACUGUAUAAUAAUAGUGUGGUCUGUUCUUUCUUGCCAGAAGUUAUCUACAAGGUAACAUUCGGGAUUUUUCUUGUACAUAUUAGAUGAGACAAACAGAUCGGGAUGUAAUAACAGCAUUAACUCACAGACCUUGGAGCCUAAGCCAUACAGGAGAUGGGAAACCACGCUAUGAUACUUUCUGGAAACAUUUUAUAUUUGUUAUGAUGGACAUUUUGCUCGAUUGGAGCAUGCAUAAUAUCUUGUGGUACCUGUGUGGAAUUUCAGCUUUCCUCAUGCAAAAGGAUUUUGUAUCCCCGGCCUACUUGAAGAAGUGGUCAGCUAAAGGAAUCCAGGUUGUUGGUUGGACUGUUAAUACCUUUGAUGAAAAGAGUUACUACGAAUCCCAUCUUGGUUCCAGCUAUAUCACUGACAGCAUGGUAGAAGACUGCGAACCUCACUUCUAGACUUUCACGGUGGGACGAAACGGGUUCAGAAACUGCCAGGGGCCUCAUACAGGGAUAUCAAAAUACCCUUUGUGCUAGCCCAGGCCCUGGGGAAUCAGGUGACUCACACAAAUGCAAUAGUUGGUCACUGCAUUUUUACCUGAACCAAAGCUAAACCCGGUGUUGCCACCAUGCACCAUGGCAUGCCAGAGUUCAACACUGUUGCUCUUGAAAAUCUGGGUCUGAAAAAACGCACAAGAGCCCCUGCCCUGCCCUAGCUGAGGCACACAGGGAGACCCAGUGAGGAUAAGCACAGAUUGAAUUGUACAGUUUGCAGAUGCAGAUGUAAAUGCAUGGGACAUGCAUGAUAACUCAGAGUUGACAUUUUAAAACUUGCCACACUUAUUUCAAAUAUUUGUACUCAGCUAUGUUAACAUGUACUGUAGACAUCAAACUUGUGGCCAUACUAAUAAAAUUAUUAAAAGGAGCACUAAAGGAAAACUGUGUGCCAAGCAUCAUAUCCUAAGGCAUACGGAAUUUGGGGAAGCCACCAUGCAAUCCAGUGAGGCUUCAGUGUACAGCAACCAAAAUGGUAGGGAGGUCUUGAAGCCAAUGAGGGAUUUAUAGCAUCUUGAAUAGAGAGCUGCAAACCACCAGGGGGCAGAGUUGCAUUUUUCCAGGCUUUUUAGGAAGCUCUGCAACAGAUGUGAUCUGAUCAUAGGCAAUUAGAACUGGAAGAAACUUCCAAAAAUAUCUAGGUUUGUCCUCAUUUUACAAAUGAGGAAACUAAACUCUGUGGAAGGGAAGGGGUUGCCUCAAAAGUCACAGCUUAGCUGGGCACAGUGGCUCAUGCCGAUAAUCCCAGCAAUUCAGAAAGCUGAGGCAGGAGGAUUACUUGAGGCCAGACUGGGCAAUAUAGCAAGACCCCAUCUCUAAAAAAUUAGGCAUGGUGGUGCAUGCCUGUAUUCCCAGCUACUCAGGAGGUUGAGGUGGGAGGAUCACUUGAGCCCAGAAGUUCAAGGCUGCAAUGAGCCAUGAUUACACCACGGCACUACAACCUUGGUGGCACAGUGAGAACCUGACUCUUAAAAAAAAAAAAAAAAAAAAAAAAAAAAAGAUAACUAGAACUUCUAGAACAUCUUGUUUACAGUUAGCCAGAAACUAUACAAGUGGUUUAACAUGCAUUAUCUUACUCAAUCCAUACAAAAGUCUUAUGGAGGUGUUAGCACUCUUUCUACUGAUGAAGAACUGAGGUACUUCAUAAAACCACUUACCCAAGGUGUCUUGAGUCUGGUACAACUGGCAUUCAAAUCUAGGUCAGUCUGCCCCCAGAGCCACUACCCUUACCCCUCACUGAAUCUGCCUUUAUAUUGUUGAGCCCAUGACCCCAAACUGCUCUUUCCAAUUUGAACUUCCAGGGAUUUUAUUGUGAACUUACAUAGCAACAUUAAAAUGAAGUUGAAUUGUUUUUAAUGGCAACGCCGUCUGUCUCCUCUAGCUUACCGCUUCUCACCUUUCAACCCCAUCUGUGGCCUUUGUCCAGGCCCACAGCUUAGCCAUGGCUUCCCUCCUGCAUCCCUGCCGUGGGUUGCUGGCCUCACACUUGCAGCAGCUGGACAGUGAUUUUAGAAGGCCACCAGUCCCCAUAGCUAUGUGACAAUGAGAAGCAAACUUUUUUGUGACAGAUUGUAUUGGCAUAGGCAUGAUAGAUGGGGAUUGGUACGUUUUGAAUCAGCAUUUGCAAAAAAAUUGUCUUGAAUUUUAAAAUAAACAACAAAGAUUUGUUCAUUGAGUGCAA
Molecule: RNA transcript, 2939 nt
Organism: Homo sapiens (human)
Lineage: Eukaryota; Metazoa; Chordata; Mammalia; Primates; Hominidae
Gene: GDE1
Gene name: glycerophosphodiester phosphodiesterase 1
Exons: 6
Source: RefSeq, marked validated